RNAcentral lists this non-coding RNA (72 nucleotides) under Paraburkholderia unamae. RNAcentral describes it as "Fluoride". It matches the Rfam family "Fluoride riboswitch aptamer (crcB RNA motif)". The record is from RNAcentral. Lineage: Bacteria; Pseudomonadati; Pseudomonadota; Betaproteobacteria; Burkholderiales; Burkholderiaceae.
GUUGUUUGCGGAGAUGGCAUCCUCCCUUAACCGCCGCGUCGUCUCCAUGUGGCUAAUGAUGCCUACCAGUCC